Molecule: ribosomal RNA, 578 nt
Filed under: Aspergillus pseudoglaucus
Lineage: Eukaryota; Fungi; Ascomycota; Eurotiomycetes; Eurotiales; Aspergillaceae
Description: eukaryotic LSU rRNA
Rfam family: 5.8S ribosomal RNA (bases 174-327)
Source: RNAcentral
UCCGUAGGUGAACCUGCGGAAGGAUCAUUACCGAGUGCGGGCCCUCUGGGUCCAACCUCCCAUCCGUGUCUAUCUGUACCCUGUUGCUUCGGCGUGGCCACGGCCCGCCGAAGACUAACAUUUGAACACUGUCUGAAGUUUGCAGUCUGAGUUUUUAGUUAAACAAAAAUUAAAACUUUCAACAACGGAUCUCUUGGUUCCGGCAUCGAUGAAGAACGCAGCGAAAUGCGAAAAUUAAUGUGAAUUGCAGAAUUCAGUGAAUCAUCGAGUCUUUGAACGCACAUUGCGCCCCCUGGUAUUCCGGGGGGCAUGCCUGUCCGAGCGUCAUUGCUGCCCUCAAGCACGGCUUGUGUGUUGGGCUUCCGUCCCUGGUAACGGGGACGGGCCCAAAAGGCAGUGGCGGCACCAUGUCUGGUCCUCGAGCGUAUGGGGCUUUGUCACCCGCUCCCGUAGGUCCAGCUGGCAGCUAGCCUCGCAACCAAUCUUUUUAACCAGGUUGACCUCGGAUCAGGUAGGGAUACCCGCUGAACUUAAGCAUAUCAAAAAGCGGAGGAAAAGAAACCAACAGGGAUUGCCUC